Molecule: ribosomal RNA, 275 nt
Filed under: uncultured bacterium
Lineage: Bacteria
Description: partial 16S ribosomal RNA
Rfam family: Bacterial small subunit ribosomal RNA
Source: RNAcentral
CCUACGGGCGGCUGCAGUGGGGAAUUUUGGACAAUGGGCGCAAGCCUGAUCCAGCCAUUCCGCGUGAGUGAAGAAGGCCUUCGGGUUGUAAAGCUCUUUCGCAAGGGAAGAAAACUUAACCUCUAACAUAGGUUGAGGCUGACGGUACCUUGAUAAGAAGCACCGGCUAACUACGUGCCAGCAGCCGCGGUAAUACGUAGGGUGCGAGCGUUAAUCGGAAUUACUGGGCGUAAAGCGUGCGCAGGCGGCCUGAUAAGUCAGAUGUGAAAUCCCCG